This 303-nucleotide ribosomal RNA is filed under the name uncultured bacterium. Its description in RNAcentral is "bacterial SSU rRNA". It matches the Rfam family "Bacterial small subunit ribosomal RNA", at positions 56 to 358 of the family's 1533-position model. The record is from RNAcentral.
UGCAAGUCGAACGAUGAAGCCUGGCUUGCUGGGUGGAUUAGUGGCGAACGGGUGAGUAACACGUGAGCAACCUGCCCCUGACUCUGGGAUAAGCGCUGGAAACGGCGUCUAAUACUGGAUAUGUCCCAUCACCGCAUGGUGUGUGGGUGGAAAGAUUUUUCGGUUGGGGAUGGGCUCGCGGCCUAUCAGCUUGUUGGUGAGGUAAUGGCUCACCAAGGCGUCGACGGGUAGCCGGCCUGAGAGGGCGACCGGCCACACUGGGACUGAGACACGGCCCAGACUCCUACGGGAGGCAGCAGUGAG